Molecule: ribosomal RNA, 255 nt
Filed under: uncultured bacterium
Lineage: Bacteria
Description: partial 16S ribosomal RNA
Rfam family: Bacterial small subunit ribosomal RNA
Source: RNAcentral
UACGUAGGGUGCGAGCGUUGUCCGGAAUUAUUGGGCGUAAAGAGCUCGUAGGCGGUUUGUCGCGUCGGCCGUGAAAUCUCCACGCUUAACGUGGAGCGUGCGGUCGAUACGGGCAGACUUGAGUUCGGCAGGGGAGACUGGAAUUCCAGGUGUAGCGGUGAAAUGCGUAGAUAUCUGGAGGAACACCGGUGGCGAAGGCGGCAUCCUGGACCGGCAUUGACGCUGAGGCGCGGAAAGCCAGGGGAGCAAAGCGGG